AAUCAACGCUGGCGGCGUGCCUCAGACAUGCAAGUCGAACGCUGCUGUUCGCCUUCGGGUGGACAGCGGAGUGGCGCACGGGUGAGUAACACGUAGGUAAUCUACCUUUGGGUGGGAGUAACAGCCGGAAACGGCUGCUAAUACCGCAUAAUGCAGCGGCAUCACAUGAUGACAGUUGUUAAAGCGAGGGAUCGUAAGACCUCGCGCCUGAAGAGGAGCCUGCGGCAGAUUAGGUAGUUGGUGAGGUAAUGGCUCACCAAGCCUGCGAUCUGUAACCGGCCUGAGAGGGCGGGUCGGUCACACUGACACUGACAUACGGGUCAGACUCCUACGGGAGGCAGCAGUCGGGUAAUUUUGGGCAAUGGGCGCAAGCCUGACCCAGCAACG
This 387-nucleotide ribosomal RNA is filed under the name uncultured bacterium. Its description in RNAcentral is "bacterial SSU rRNA". It matches the Rfam family "Bacterial small subunit ribosomal RNA", at positions 32 to 396 of the family's 1533-position model. The record is from RNAcentral.